AUGCACCAGCAUUGAGGUUCUGCUACCACCAGCUGAAGUCACAGACGCGCUGAGGUUGCUAAGAGCUGAGAUCACGGAGCCGUGUUAAGUGCUGGGGGCAGAGGAAGGAGGAGCCAUACCACUCCUACAGGGACAAUCCAAGCUGAAGAAAGUUGACGUGCUGGAGAUCACGGUGUAGCACAUGGAGAGCCUGCAACAGAGCAACACCCUGGGGAUGGUCCAUGCCAUGCUGAGGAGAAUUCACGCUGCCUACCAGGCUCAAGGUGUCACUCCUCCCACAUCUUCAUGGGGACUUUGGAGAGAUUCUUGUUGCUGUAACUGGAUCUCAGAGCACGAGCGGCUGGUUGAGUAUCUUCAGAGCUAUGGGGUCUGGGCCCGAGAGGUGUGAACUCAGCGGCGGCCAGCAUAUCCCUCGGCCCGUGCCUUUUCACAUAGUCCUCAUUGGCCUGGAGCGGCAAACUGCAGCUAGUGGGAGCCAUAAUCGGAUGAACCUGCAGGCACAGCAGGUAAACGGCCCGGCCCGCCAUAGUGCUUACCGUGGCGAGCCACGUGCCAAAGGUUGCUGAUCCCUGACCUAGCAUAUAGUGUCCUUACAGUCCAGGAUGAGGUGUUUGCUUCAGUUUAGGAUUUCUUUAAUUUAGAAUGACUUUUUUUCCACAAGCACCAUUCCCAAUAUGCAUCCACUGCUCCUUCUUCACUUUCCUUGUCCUGCUGUGAAAUUCUUACAAUCCCCCAAAAUAAGAUAAUUACCUCUUCUCUUAAUAUCCUUCACUCUCAUUGUUUGGUCCUGGUUGCCCAUUUUUACUUCCUAAACACAGAGUCACCAUUCUCUACAAAGCUGAUUCUCUGGCACUCCCCUAGUUCUGUAAAAUCAGCUAUUGUUUAUCAUAUACUUAAAAGCUCUUUCUUGACAUUAAAACAUUGUCCAGCUAUACCAAAAGGACAGGAAACAUGUGAUAUGGAUUUAAUCAGUCUGCAACUUUAUUAUUAGAUGUCUUGGACUACCUGUCGGAUAAAAGGGUACAAUGCAGGCACUUCAUUCAAAUAACUAGCUGGGGCUUCCCCUAGCUCCCCUUCAUUUUCCAUCAAGGUCCUCCAGCCAAUCCAUGGUUUGGAUCUUACCACUUCCCCACACCCCAUACAAGGGUUAAGGUGAGCUAUAAGAAAGGGGGGCUUACUGCCAUACCAAUCAUAGGAGCCCUGACCCUCCCCGUCACCCCCCAUUCCAUUCCUUUAACCUGCAUUUCCUUUUAUGUCCUUUAGCAGGCCAUUUAUUUGGUCACUGGAUGCUGUCCCUAUGGAGUACUUGCACUGGACAUCCACCCCACACUUACAAAAUAAGUUGCGACAUACAGCAUAACCCCCUUUCCUCCUUACUGUAAUAGGUCCUCUGUGGCACCUGCUCUGAGGAAGGUGAAAAACCCCCAUUCUACCUAAGCCAAUAUGAUUGCGAAGGAAAAAUUCCUUCCCAGACCUCUUAAAAAAGAGAGACUAGUGCAUUAUCCACAACAGGUCCUAACACAACCUGAUAUUUGCACCUGAGGGGAGGAAGGGUGGAUGCUGCCUUGCUUUCUGCCUGGAGAAAGGGCUUCUAAUUCCAGGUCUUGCACCUUUUAAAACCUUCUGCCCUUACAUUCCCAGGGGAUGAGUCAGUCACUAGGCUGACCCCUAUGCACCUUUUUGCAGCAGUUUCUGACCUUCCUUUUCCCCCCGAUAAAGCACUGUUACCUUCCUCUGGCAAGCCCAGACAACGUAUUCUCCCCUCCCUCCCGAUUCAGGUGUGGUGCAUCAUUAUAUCUUUUCCUUUCUCAUUGAAGAGGAACUACCACUAAUGUGUCCAAUUACUUCUCAAAAGGGUGUUCUUGAUCCAGUUCAGUUUGGAAUUUGCUGUGGCUACCAUAGAAACUUCCCCAAUGUGGUUAAUGACCUCUCACUUUCUGCUAAUCAAGACUCUUUGACCUCUUUCCACUGUUUGACAAUGUUGUUGACUCCAUCCUCCUGCACUGCCUGCAUAACAAUCCAUUACAUGAUUAUGUUUCCUAGUAAUCUAACCUUUUACUUUCCAUUUCCAGUUUUGGAUCCUCCUUUUGUGCUAAGAUUGCUCCUCUCUGGCACCAAGCAAAGCUUAAUUCAUGAUCUUCCAUGUUUCCGUGUCUGUCUUCCUUCUCGUCAUCUUUACUCUGGUUUAAUAAUAACUCACAUUUAUAUUGGUGUUACUCAAUUUUAUAAAACUUUCAACACCUUGAAUGACUCCUUUUCCCACUCUUGGUGGGGCCCAAAGGUGUUAUAAUAAUAACUCAGAUAGUUUCAGUCAUACAUUUUAAUGAAGAAAAACGAUGUGACCACUGGUAUUAAAAAUGUUGUUAAAGUAAGCAUACCAAAGGGUUUUAAGAUCCUGGCA
Long non-coding RNA from Gopherus flavomarginatus (Mexican gopher tortoise), 2401 nucleotides. RefSeq lists it as uncharacterized. Lineage: Eukaryota; Metazoa; Chordata; Testudines; Testudinidae. The record is from RefSeq and is a predicted model, not a curated record. The transcript is spliced from 3 exons.